AACAAACGCUGGCGGCGUGCCUAAUACAUGCAAGUCGAACGGGGAAAGUUCUUCGGAAUGAGUACUAGUGGCGUACGGGUGAGCAACACGUGGAUAAUCUUCCUUCAGGUGGGGAAUAACGAGUCGAAAGAUUCGCUAAUACCGCAUAAGACCACAGUAACUUUGGUUACAGGGGUUAAAGACUUCGGUCGCCUUUAGAUGAGUCUGCGUCCGAUUAGCUAGUUGGUGAGGUAAUGGCUCACCAAGGCGACGAUCGGUAACUGGUCUGAGAGGACGGCCAGUCACACUGGGACUGAGACACGGCCCAGACUCCUACGGGAGGCAGCAGUAGGGGAUUUUGCACAAUGGAGGAAACUCUGAUGCAGCGACGCCGCGUGAGUGAUGAAGGCCUUCGGGUCGUAAAGCUCUGUUCUCAGGGAAUAAAAAAUGAAGGUACCUGAGGAGAAAGGACCGGCUAACUUCGUGCCAGCAGCCGCGGUAA
This 481-nucleotide ribosomal RNA is filed under the name uncultured bacterium. RNAcentral's name for it is "bacterial SSU rRNA". It matches the Rfam family "Bacterial small subunit ribosomal RNA", at positions 29 to 523 of the family's 1533-position model. The record is from RNAcentral.